GGGCCCGAGUUGUAAUUUGUAGAGGAUGCUUUUGGCGAGGUGCCUUCCGAGUUCCCUGGAACGGGACGCCACAGAGGGUGAGAGCCCCGUAUGGUCGGACACCGAGCCUCUGUAAAGCUCCUUCGACGAGUCGAGUAGUUUGGGAAUGCUGCUCAAAAUGGGAGGUAUAUGUCUUCUAAAGCUAAAUAUUGGCCAGAGACCGAUAGCGCACAAGUAGAGUGAUCGAAAGAUGAAAAGCACUUUGAAAAGAGGGUUAAAAAGUACGUGAAAUUGUUGAAAGGGAAGCGCCUAUGACCAGACUUGGGCCCGGUGAAUCACCCAGCGUUCUCGCUGGUGCACUUUGCCGGGCACAGGCCAGCAUCAGUUCAGCGCGGGGGAGAAAGGCUUCGGGAAUGUGGCUCCCUCGGGAGUGUUAUAGCCCGCUGCGUAAUGCCCUGCGCCGGACUGAGGUACGCGCAUUGCAAGGAUGCUGGCGUAAUGGUCAUCAGCGACCCGUCUUGAAACACGGACCAAGGAGUCGUCUUCGUAUGCGAGUGUUCGGGUGUCAAACCCCUACGCGUAAUGAAAGUGAACGUAGGUGAGAGCUUCGGCGCAUCACCGACCGAUCCUGAUGUUCUCGGAUGGAUUUGAGUAA
RNAcentral lists this ribosomal RNA (634 nucleotides) under Beauveria caledonica. RNAcentral's name for it is "partial large subunit ribosomal RNA". It matches the Rfam family "Eukaryotic large subunit ribosomal RNA", at positions 134 to 797 of the family's 3401-position model. Lineage: Eukaryota; Fungi; Ascomycota; Sordariomycetes; Hypocreales; Cordycipitaceae. The record is from RNAcentral.